This 774-nucleotide long non-coding RNA is filed under the name Zea mays. RNAcentral's name for it is "long non-coding RNA (ZMAY_LNC000159)". The record is from RNAcentral. Lineage: Eukaryota; Viridiplantae; Streptophyta; Magnoliopsida; Poales; Poaceae.
AAACACGCCAGUCAUAGUACAGGUGAUGAAUAUCCCCUACUGCGUCAAAAUUGUAUAUUGAAUCCAAGUUUCUUGGGAGAUUUUCCUGAUGAUGAUGCCCCUUUUUAGAUACAAGAACUGCUUUGAGGGGCCGUGGGUGUCAUGUCACCAGCACAGGUAUCCGAUCAUGGUUCUCAGUUUGGUUGUGCUACUAGUUCAUGUCUUGUGAUGGUGAUGUAUGGUUAAUGGCACAAGCAGGUGGAUGCUUACAUUGCUUCUGACAUAAAGAAUAAAACAAACAUUGGUAAGUUUUCUCUUCGAGCAGCAGUGGAUGUGGAUGUGUGCAUUCAGAUGUUGGUAAGAAGAUUCUUCGUUUUCCUUUGAAUUCCAAAAGUUCGUGCUAGAAUAUAAGACAAUUUUUAUUCUAGUCACAUAAUAUAAUAAGGCGUGCUCUUUCUAGACAUGUAUAUACCAAAAUAGUAUAGAGAAUUAAAUACAUUUAUUGAGUUAGUUACGCCUUUUAUACUAUAAUGGAGGGAGAGAGAGAGAGAGUAUAUUUUAUGAAAUUUCUUGAACUUAGUGCUGGUUCUGGGAGUAGUUGCUUUAGUGAUACACGUGAACUUACGUCCUGUUUGGAUCCUUGGAAUUGAAUUCCAUUCUAAAAAUAGUAAUUUAAACAAAGAUCAAUUAAGCUAAUAUUGUUUUAUGUGAAAUAUAUUUGUACACUAUUAUUAGCAAUAUUUGUGAGGCCUAGAGACGUCCUGGGAGGCCUAGAGGUGUUUUGCCUCUUGCCGC